Molecule: long non-coding RNA, 1378 nt
Organism: Mytilus californianus (California mussel)
Lineage: Eukaryota; Metazoa; Mollusca; Bivalvia; Mytilida; Mytilidae
Exons: 2
Source: RefSeq, a predicted model, not a curated record
AUUUAAAAAUAGAUGAUAUAAUGCGCAGAUUUUAGUGUCGUUGAUAAACGGUAUGCAUAUCUUGGAGUAGACUAAUUGUACAUUGGUACCGCACACAAUUAGCUUAUAUACAGGAUAAUGGAGACUAAUUUGACUAUUUGUGGUAUAUGUAAUUUUCGUCAGAUAACUUAACCAUCAGUAGUUUGGUGUUCCGAAUGUGACGAAGGUCUUUGUCGAGAGUGUACCGAACAUCACCGCAUCUCCAAGGCAACUAGGGGACAUAAUACCAUUUCUAUCGAUGAUUACAAGAAACUGCCACCAACAAUUCUAGAAAUAACACAAACUUGCAGAGACCACAAUGAAAAGAUUCAAAUAUACUGUUAUAAACAUGAUUGUCUAUGCUGUAAAAAGUGCGUUGUGGAAACCCACAACGUGUGCAAAGAACUUUUUGAUAUUAACGAUGUCGUAAAAGAUGUCAAAUCAUCAAAUACGUUCGUGGAUAUCGAACAGACCUUAGCAGAAAUUUCUGAAAAUUUUAAAAGAAUACGAAAAGACCGUGAAGAGAAUCUGACCGCAAUCAAGGAAACAAGAGAAAAAAUAGAGUUAGAAAUAAAAAUGACUAAAUUAAAGAUUGUAAGUUAUCUUGACAAACUCCAAGAAGAAAUAUUGAAAGAACUCAGCAAAACAGAGAAAUCGGAAAGCAAACAAAUACACAAAUUAUUAACAGCAGUACAACAAGCGGAAAAAGACGUUACGGAAUACCAAAAUAACAUAGCGAACAUAAAACAACAUGCAUCAGACCUUCAGACAUUUAUUGCGCUCAAUCGAAUCCAACAUGAUGUAGACGAAAAAGAUAAAUUUAUUCAAACAUUAGUUAACAACAAAGAUUUAAAUCACGCUGUUCUGUCUUGGAAGAUAAGCUAUGAUGUAAAAAAUGCCAAUACCAGUAUCUCGACAUUUGUAAAAAUUGUUGUUGAGUCCAAAUCAAGUGGCAUAGUUAUUGCAAGGAGAAAAAACCGGCAAGCCCAGACCAUGGUUAUGGAUCCGGCUUUGAGAUCUGUCGACAAUCCUUUACGUAAUUGGAUGAGGAGAGCGAAAGGCGAUCCUAACUGCAAACAAUCUUAACAAUAAGGCAUGCGACCUAAUAAGUCAACACAACUUCACGAGAGCCGUUUGAAAAGGAACGGUAGUUAUCACUCAGUAUUGCCAAUUUAAACCGCCAACCUCCAAUAAACUUUCAAACACCGCCCAGAUAAAGCACACGUGCGUAUAAAAUACAAUAAAACAAACAAUUAAUCUGCAUCCAUGGUCUUAUUGUAUUCACGAAUAUGUACAUGGAAAUACUGUGAUAAUUAUAUCGUAUAUUCAUGUCUUAAUUGAAUUAAAUAUCUUCCAGUUA